This 468-nucleotide ribosomal RNA is filed under the name uncultured bacterium. RNAcentral describes it as "partial 16S ribosomal RNA". It matches the Rfam family "Bacterial small subunit ribosomal RNA", at positions 28 to 507 of the family's 1533-position model. The record is from RNAcentral.
GACGAACGCUGGCGGCGUGCUUAACACAUGCAAGUCGAACGGAAAGGCCCUGCUUUUGUGGGGUGCUCGAGUGGCGAACGGGUGAGUAACACGUGAGUAACCUGCCCUUGACUUUGGGAUAACUUCAGGAAACUGGGGCUAAUACCGGAUAGGAGCUCCUGCUGCAUGGUGGGGGUUGGAAAGUUUCGGCGGUUGGGGAUGGACUCGCGGCUUAUCAGCUUGUUGGGGGGGUAGUGGCUUACCAAGGCUUUGACGGGUAGCCGGCCUGAGAGGGUGACCGGCCACAUUGGGACUGAUAUACGGCCCAGACUCCUACGGGAGGCAGCAGUGGGGAAUAUUGCACAAUGGGCGGAAGCCAGAUGCAGCAACGCCGCGUGCGGGAUGACGGCCUUCGGGUUGUAAACCGUUUUCGCCUGUGACGAAGCGUGAGUGACGGUAAUGGGUAAAGAAGCACCGGCUAACUACGUG